Molecule: ribosomal RNA, 450 nt
Filed under: uncultured bacterium
Lineage: Bacteria
Description: bacterial SSU rRNA
Rfam family: Bacterial small subunit ribosomal RNA
Source: RNAcentral
AACGAACGCUGGCGGCAUGCCUAACACAUGCAAGUCGAACGAAGCCUUCGGGCUUAGUGGCGCACGGGUGCGUAACACGUGGGAAUCUGCCCUUCGGUUCGGAAUAACAGUUAGAAAUGACUGCUAAUACCGGAUGAUGACGUAAGUCCAAAGAUUUAUCGCCGAAGGAUGAGCCCGCGUAGGAUUAGGUAGUUGGUAGGGUAAUGGCCUACCAAGCCGACGAUCCUUAGCUGGUCUGAGAGGAUGAUCAGCCACACUGGGACUGAGACACGGCCCAGACUCCUACGGGAGGCAGCAGUGGGGAAUAUUGGACAAUGGGCGAAAGCCUGAUCCAGCAAUGCCGCGUGAGUGAUGAAGGCCUUAGGGUUGUAAAGCUCUUUUACCAGGGAUGAUAAUGACUGUACCUGGAGAAUAAGCUCCGGCUAACUCCGUGCCAGCAGCCGCGGUAAU